RNAcentral lists this ribosomal RNA (253 nucleotides) under uncultured bacterium. RNAcentral's name for it is "partial 16S ribosomal RNA". It matches the Rfam family "Bacterial small subunit ribosomal RNA", at positions 524 to 776 of the family's 1533-position model. The record is from RNAcentral.
UACGGAGGGUGCAAGCAUUAAUCGGAUUUAUUGGGCGUAAAGGGCGCGUAGGUGGGAAGCUAAGUCAGAUGUGAAAUCCCGGGGCUUAACCCCGGAACAGCAUAUGAAACUGACUUUCUAGAGGGUAGGCGGGGAAAAUGGAAUUCCACAAGUAGCGGUGAAAUGCGUAGAUAUGUGGAAGAACACCGGUGGCGAAGGCGAUUUUCUAGCUUAUACCUGACACUAAAGCGCGAAAGCAAGGGGAUCAAACAGG